This 278-nucleotide ribosomal RNA is filed under the name uncultured marine eukaryote. Its description in RNAcentral is "partial 18S ribosomal RNA". It matches the Rfam family "Eukaryotic small subunit ribosomal RNA", at positions 612 to 890 of the family's 1831-position model. The record is from RNAcentral.
GUUGCAGUUAAAAAGCUCGUAGUUGGAUUUCUGCGGGGGCGGGGCGGCCGGAUGCUUAUAGCAUCUCGAGCUAGCACUUCCCCUGCAUCCUGCCGCGAACCGUGCUACCAUUAGUUUGGUGGCGCCGGGGAUCGGCUCGUUUACUUUGAGAAAAAUAGAGUGUUCAAAGCAGGCCACACGCCUUGAAUAAGUUAGCAUGGAAUAAUGAUAAAGGACUUCGGUUCUAUUUUGUUGGUGUUCGGGACUGAAGUAAUGAUUGAUAGGGACAGUUGGGGCGG